RNAcentral lists this ribosomal RNA (1086 nucleotides) under Streptomyces sp. RNAcentral describes it as "bacterial SSU rRNA". It matches the Rfam family "Bacterial small subunit ribosomal RNA", at positions 318 to 1408 of the family's 1533-position model. Lineage: Bacteria; Bacillati; Actinomycetota; Actinomycetes; Kitasatosporales; Streptomycetaceae. The record is from RNAcentral.
ACUGAGACACGGCCCAGACUCCUACGGGAGGCAGCAGUGGGGAAUAUUGCACAAUGGGCGCAAGCCUGAUGCAGCGACGCCGCGUGAGGGAUGACGGCCUUCGGGUUGUAAACCUCUUUCAGCAGGGAAGAAGCGCAAGUGACGGUACCUGCAGAAGAAGCGCCGGCUAACUACGUGCCAGCAGCCGCGGUAAUACGUAGGGCGCGAGCGUUGUCCGGAAUUAUUGGGCGUAAAGAGCUCGUAGGCGGUCUGUCGCGUCGGAUGUGAAAGCCCGGGGCUUAACCCCGGGUCUGCAUUCGAUACGGGCAGACUAGAGUGUGGUAGGGGAGAUCGGAAUUCCUGGUGUAGCGGUGAAAUGCGCAGAUAUCAGGAGGAACACCGGUGGCGAAGGCGGAUCUCUGGGCCAUUACUGACGCUGAGGAGCGAAAGCGUGGGGAGCGAACAGGAUUAGAUACCCUGGUAGUCCACGCCGUAAACGGUGGGCACUAGGUGUUGGCGACAUUCCACGUCGUCGGUGCCGCAGCUAACGCAUUAAGUGCCCCGCCUGGGGAGUACGGCCGCAAGGCUAAAACUCAAAGGAAUUGACGGGGGCCCGCACAAGCAGCGGAGCAUGUGGCUUAAUUCGACGCAACGCGAAGAACCUUACCAAGGCUUGACAUACACCGGAAAACUCUGGAGACAGGGUCCCCCUUGUGGUCGGUGUACAGGUGGUGCAUGGCUGUCGUCAGCUCGUGUCGUGAGAUGUUGGGUUAAGUCCCGCAACGAGCGCAACCCUUGUUCUGUGUUGCCAGCAUGCCUUUCGGGGUGAUGGGGACUCACAGGAGACUGCCGGGGUCAACUCGGAGGAAGGUGGGGACGACGUCAAGUCAUCAUGCCCCUUAUGUCUUGGGCUGCACACGUGCUACAAUGGCAGGUACAAUGAGCUGCGAAGCCGUGAGGCGGAGCGAAUCUCAAAAAGCCUGUCUCAGUUCGGAUUGGGGUCUGCAACUCGACCCCAUGAAGUCGGAGUUGCUAGUAAUCGCAGAUCAGCAGUGCUGCGGUGAAUACGUUCCCGGGCCUUGUACACACCGCCCGUCACGUCACGAA